This is a long non-coding RNA of Talpa occidentalis (Iberian mole), 473 nucleotides long. RefSeq lists it as uncharacterized. The transcript is spliced from 6 exons. The record is from RefSeq and is a predicted model, not a curated record. NCBI's taxonomy places the organism in Eukaryota, Metazoa, Chordata, Mammalia, Eulipotyphla, Talpidae.
GCAGUCACUUGUGCUGACAGCUGACAGGAAAGGACCUUCACCUUCAUACAUACUUCAGAAACACAGUGCUUGAAGAGGUAACCAAUGGUGGUGACCUAAAAGCUGGACUUUGAGGGACUGUCUACUUUGACCUUUGCCACUUAGAAUGAAUCAAUUCUGAAGUAUUGUUGAAGAAUGAUAAACAGCUCAUUCAGUAGACCAGGACUUCUUAAGACUGAACUGUGGCAACCCCCUUUAUAUGUUAUAGCCUUAGCCCCUGACAUGACCAUAUCUGGAGUUGUGCCUUCAAGGAGUGCAAUAUCCCACAGUGCACCGAAUUCAUCAGCAACCAUGUGAGUGAGUUUGGAAACAGACUCACUCUCAAUCAAACCUUAAGAUCUUUUCAACCUUGGAUGAUGCGUGUUUACAGCCAGUGAGAGACACAGAAUCACCAGACCCAGGACACCUCUGUAACAACAUUUGUGAACUUUUUG